RNAcentral lists this microRNA precursor (103 nucleotides) under Marmota monax (woodchuck). Lineage: Eukaryota; Metazoa; Chordata; Mammalia; Rodentia; Sciuridae. The record is from RNAcentral.
CUAUGAAUCACUUGGGGAUCUUGAUGUAAAUGUAAAUUCUCAUACAGUAGUCUAGAGUCCUGCUGGGAUUCUGCAUUUCUAAAAGCUUCCAGGUGAUACUGAU